GAGGUUGUAGCUCAUUGGUAGAGCACCCGGCAUUCGGCCGGUAGGUAGGGGGUUCGAUUCCCUUCAGCUUCUCCA
RNAcentral lists this transfer RNA (75 nucleotides) under Hyphomicrobiaceae bacterium. RNAcentral's name for it is "tRNA-Glu". It matches the Rfam family "tRNA". From Rfam's summary of the family: Transfer RNA (tRNA) molecules are approximately 80 nucleotides in length. Their secondary structure includes four short double-helical elements and three loops (D, anti-codon, and T loops). Lineage: Bacteria; Pseudomonadati; Pseudomonadota; Alphaproteobacteria; Hyphomicrobiales; Hyphomicrobiaceae. The record is from RNAcentral.